Molecule: ribosomal RNA, 439 nt
Filed under: uncultured bacterium
Lineage: Bacteria
Description: partial 16S ribosomal RNA
Rfam family: Bacterial small subunit ribosomal RNA
Source: RNAcentral
CUACGGGCUGCAGCAGUGAGGAAUAUUGCACAAUGGGGGGAACCCUGAUGCAGCAACGCCGCGUGGAGGAUGACGCAUUUCGGUGUGUAAACUCCUUUUAUAUGUCAAGAAAAUGACGGUAGCAUAUGAAUAAGCACCGGCUAACUCCGUGCCAGCAGCCGCGGUAAUACGGAGGGUGCAAGCGUUACACGGAAUCACUGGGCGUAAAGGACGCGUAGGCGGGUUGGAAAGUCAGGUGUGAAAUCCUACAGCUUAACUGUAGAACUGCACUUGAAACUUCUAAUCUAGAGUAUGGGAGGGGGAGAUGGAAUUAGUGGUGUAGGGGUAAAAUCCGUAGAUAUCACUAGGAAUACCUAAAGCGAAGGCGAUCUCCUGGAACAUUACUGACGCUAAGGCGUGAAAGCGUGGGGAGCAAACAGGAUGAGAUACCCUUGUAGUC